ACCCAGCCGACGAGUCCCAGAUGGGACGAAACGCGCGUCCUGAAU
Non-coding RNA from Schistosoma margrebowiei, 45 nucleotides. NCBI's taxonomy places the organism in Eukaryota, Metazoa, Platyhelminthes, Trematoda, Strigeidida, Schistosomatidae. The record is from Rfam.